GUCCUCGUAGUUCAACGGAUAGAACAAGGGUUUCCUAAACCCUAGAUCCAAGUUCGAUUCUUGGCGAGGACA
This 72-nucleotide transfer RNA is filed under the name Minisyncoccota bacterium. Its description in RNAcentral is "tRNA-Arg". It matches the Rfam family "tRNA". From Rfam's summary of the family: Transfer RNA (tRNA) molecules are approximately 80 nucleotides in length. Their secondary structure includes four short double-helical elements and three loops (D, anti-codon, and T loops). The record is from RNAcentral. Lineage: Bacteria; Bacillati; Minisyncoccota.